This 267-nucleotide ribosomal RNA is filed under the name uncultured bacterium. RNAcentral describes it as "partial 16S ribosomal RNA". It matches the Rfam family "Bacterial small subunit ribosomal RNA", at positions 87 to 354 of the family's 1533-position model. The record is from RNAcentral.
CGGGGAAAGUGGCGGACGGGUGAGUAACGCGUGGGCAACCUGCCUUACACAGGGGGAUAACAGUUAGAAAUGACUGCUAAUACCGCAUAAGACCGCGGAACCGCAUGGUUCUGAGGUAAAAACUCCGGUGGUGUAAGAUGGGCCCGCGUCUGAUUAGGUAGUUGGUGAGGUAACGGCUCACCAAGCCGACGAUCAGUAGCCGACCUGAGAGGGUGACCGGCCACAUUGGGACUGAGACACGGCCCAGACUCCUACGGGAGGCAGCAG